This 446-nucleotide ribosomal RNA is filed under the name uncultured bacterium. RNAcentral describes it as "partial 16S ribosomal RNA". It matches the Rfam family "Bacterial small subunit ribosomal RNA", at positions 338 to 795 of the family's 1533-position model. The record is from RNAcentral.
CCUACGGGAGGCAGCAGUCGAGAAUCAUUCACAAUGGGGGAAACCCUGAUGGUGCGACGCCGCGUGGGGGAAUGAAGGUCUUCGGAUUGUAAACCCCUGUCAUGUGGGACCAAAUUAAAAAGAUAGUACCACAAGAUGUAGAGAUGGCUAACUCUGUACCAGCAGCCGCGGUAAUACAGAGGGCUCAAGCGUUGUUCGGAAUCACUGGGCGUAAAGCGUGCGUAGGCGGUUUCGUAAGUCGGGUGUGAAAGGCGCGGGCUCAACCCGCGGACGGCACAUGAUACUGGGAGACUAGAGUAAUGGAGGGGAAACCGGAAUUCUCGGUGUAGCAGUGAAAUGCGUAGAUAUCGGGAGGAACACUAGUGGCGAAGGCGAGUUCCUGGACAUUAACUGACGCUGAGGCACGAAGGCCAGGGGAGCGAAAGGGAUUAGAUACCCGAGUAGUC